UACGUAGGGUGCAAGCGUUGUCCGGAAUUAUUGGGCGUAAAGAGCUCGUAGGCGGUCUGUCACGUCGGCUGUGAAAUCCCGAGGCUCAACCUCGGGUCUGCAGUCGAUACGGGCAAACUAGAGUAUUGCAGGGGAGACUGGAAUUCCUGGUGUAGCGGUGAAAUGCGCAGAUAUCAGGAGGAACACCGGUGGCGAAGGCGGGUAUCUGGGCAAUAACUGACGCUGAGGAGCGAAAGCGUGGGGAGCGAACAGG
Molecule: ribosomal RNA, 253 nt
Filed under: uncultured bacterium
Lineage: Bacteria
Description: partial 16S ribosomal RNA
Rfam family: Bacterial small subunit ribosomal RNA
Source: RNAcentral